This 282-nucleotide small RNA is filed under the name Octodon degus (degu). RNAcentral's name for it is "7SK RNA (ENSODEG00000022605.1)". It matches the Rfam family "7SK RNA", at positions 49 to 331 of the family's 331-position model. Rfam says of the family: 7SK was discovered as an abundant small nuclear RNA in the mid-70s but a possible function has only recently been suggested. Two independent studies have found that 7SK RNA binds the CDK9/cyclin T complex (known as elongation factor P-TEFb). P-TEFb activates transcription by phosphorylating the C-terminal domain of RNA polymerase II. Lineage: Eukaryota; Metazoa; Chordata; Mammalia; Rodentia; Octodontidae. The record is from Rfam by way of RNAcentral.
AGAAGUGAAUGUCAAAAUUGACCUGCUCAAAACAGCUGCUGCUCUAGCUGGCUCCUUUCUCUCUCAGAGCUCUGUGUGUGUCCUUCCUGAAACUGUGCUCUAAGCCAAAGAGGACGACCCUGCUGACAGAAGAUGGCUGUUCUCUGAUAAGGGUGUACAAGGAGCGGCACUCCCCUGCUAGAAUCUCCAAACAAACACAGCUCUGCACGUCAGCCCUGAUGUCCAUUCAUCAUAGCAGUGAAUGACAUCAUUAUUCACUGGGUCACUUAGGCCCAAAACUAA